This is a long non-coding RNA of Salvia miltiorrhiza (redroot sage), 1132 nucleotides long. RefSeq lists it as uncharacterized. NCBI's taxonomy places the organism in Eukaryota, Viridiplantae, Streptophyta, Magnoliopsida, Lamiales, Lamiaceae. The record is from RefSeq and is a predicted model, not a curated record. The transcript is spliced from 2 exons.
UCGAUAAACGAACCGAGCUUGUUUAUCAGAAUUUCGAGAACGAGCUUGCGUUUUCUAUAUUUAUAUAGAAUUACGAGUGUAAUGAAAGUGAGUAGGAGUUAAGAGGACGAGUAACGAAGAAUAUGGGUAGUUAGUCGUUAAAACGAGACGAAACGAGAUAUUUAACGACUAAGUGGGAUAAUAUACUAUCUAACCUACCCUACCCUAACCACUCCACCAACCACCCAACCCCACUCACUCACACAUAUUAUACGGCUGUAUCAGCCAAACACUCCACUCACACUUUAAUCUCACACAUACAACACCUAAAACACACACUAGUUCACGCCAUUUUCAUUUUAGUUUGAGCUCAAGCUUUUGACCUCCGAUUUGAGCACCGAGACGAGCGCCGAUCAUUUUUUCGAUCACGUAUCUAAGUAGGUUGAGCUGAUGUGAUGAUGGUGCUGCAAUGAGCGGAGUCUCCAGGGUUGUUAAUAAAUAGUUAACCUGUCUAGAAUAUGUCUUCAUACAUAUGUCUAGCUACUUUCCGCUGCAAGAUGUUGUUGAUGUUAUAGUAUGUUAUGUCAUACUUUGAGUCUUAAGAGAAUGGUUUCAUACGAUGUAUAACUUGAUUAAUGAUAUUAAUUAAGUUUUAUGCUGUCUUUCAUAGACUGUUUUCAAUUGAGUAUUAAUGAAUAAAAAUGACGAGUUUUAUUAAGAUGAGUAAGUUUUACGGCUAUAAAUGACGCCCCUUUUCUUCCCCUUCUUCUUUAACCCCAUCCCUAGUCGUGGAUCACUCGGCCUAACUAUCCAUAGUUAGGGCGGGCUGUGACAGAGUGGUAUCAGAGCGAAGGAAAGCUCUGAAUUAGAAGUCUUGAGUUUAGUCUAGAAUGAGUCACUAGACUAAUAGUUAUUAACAACCGUGAGCUCAGCGCACCAUCACACCAGGCUCAACGAGGUAUGUAAAAUUUCAAAGUUUAUUUGACGUUAAAUUUUGAAGAGCACGAUGUUGAGGUUAUAUGAUGAGUUAUGAUGUUAUGCUUUGAAGAUGCAUAGUUUGAGUUUGAGGAUGACAACAUGAUUAAUAAUGAGUUAUUAUGUUGUAAGAGCAUAUGUUGACGUUACAUGAUGAAUCAUGAGAGCGUUUAUAUCA